RNAcentral lists this ribosomal RNA (451 nucleotides) under uncultured bacterium. RNAcentral describes it as "partial 16S ribosomal RNA". It matches the Rfam family "Bacterial small subunit ribosomal RNA", at positions 28 to 507 of the family's 1533-position model. The record is from RNAcentral.
GAUGAACGCUGGCGGCGUGCCUAACACAUGCAAGUCGAGCGGCAGCGAGGGGUGCUUGCACCCUGUCGGCGAGCGGCGGACGGCUGAGUAACGCGUGGGAACGUGCCCCAAAGUGAGGAAUAACUGCCCGAAAGGGUAGCUAAUACCGCAUAUUAUCUUCGGAUCAAAGGAUUUAUCCGCUUUGGGAGCGGCUCGCGUCGGAUUAGGUAGUUGGUGAGGUAAUGGCUCACCAAGCCGACGAUCCGUAGCUGGACUGAGAGGAUGACCAGCCAGACUGGAACUGAGACACGGUCCAGACUCCCACGGGAGGCAGCAGUGAGGAAUCUUCCACAAUGGGCGAAAGCCUGAUGGAGCAACGCCGCGUGCAGGACGAAGGCCUUCGGGUUGUAAACUGCUUUUAUAAGUGAGGAAUAUGACGGUAACUUAUGAAUAAGGAUCGGCUAACUACGUG